GCUUUGCAGAUCUAAGGCUGGAGAGGGAAAGGGACUUGCUAGAGGUGAUACAGCUGGUAUGACCAAGUGUCUCAAUAUAUGAAAUACAAUUGUAAUUUGACAAUGUAGAACCCCUGCUCCGUGCCCAGGCCUGUGCUGGUGACACAGAGAGGGAUGAGAAUGGUCCCUGCUGGCAAUGGAAAGGGCUCCAGAAGUGUUUACUGGGGAGACCUCAGUUCCAUCCCCCUCCCCCCGCCCCCAAACAUCUCUCAGUCCUACUCUGGGCAGAGAAUAGUGGCAAGGGGGCAGAAUGAAGGUUACAAAGGUGACUUGAGGCAGAUUUAAUGCAUUCAUCCACCAGGUAGUUAUUAAGCACCUACUAAGUACUGGGUAAGCAAAGUAAACCUGACUGGUCUGUGUGCCUUCAUGGAGCAUGUGCUCUGUAGGGAAAAUGGGGAAAGGAGGAGUGAGAAGUGCUCAAGGGACACAGUAUGGAGAGGGAGCAGCCACCUAACCCAGGCAAUCAAGGAAGGCUUCCUGAUGGAAGCAGCCUUGGUACCAAGGUGGGAGGAUAAUUAGAAAUUGGGCAUAUGGAGAGGGGGAGGGAAGAGCAUUGCAAUAUAAGAACAGCUCAUGCCUAAGCCCAGAAGUGUGAGAUUAUGGUAGGUUUGAAGGACUGAAGAACAUUAUGUACACCUGCAACAGUGAGGGCAAAGGAGGAAUGAAGAACGGUGGGGAACAGGUGAGGAACAGGACAUGAGAGCCAGGUCUGGAAGGGGAACAAGUUAAGGACUCGGGGCUUAGCCAGAGGGCAGACCAGCUAACAACUCAGCACACCACAAGAAACAGAGUGAAAUCAGUUCUGUUUGUACCAGAGGACAGGACGGACGCCAUGCGGGUAAGAAAGGAACACCAAAGAAGGCUUCAUGGUGGAGGAGGUGGUUAACGUGGGCCUGGUUGAUAGAUUUUCUGUUCAAAGGAAAAGGAGAGAGAGAGAAAGAGGAACAGUCUGGGAAGUGCCAUGCAUGGCACAGAACCUCAUCCAGGCUCUGUUAUAGACCCUCUUGAAAGGUUAGGGAGAUGCCCAUGAGACUAAGGCUAAUGCAGCAUCAUUUCUAGGGCCUGGGGUGGGAUGAAGUGGCCCUCUUUGAGCCCCAUGGGAACAGAAGACACAUCCCUGGUCCUUAACAGGCUGCCAUUCAUUGGUGUCAGCAACCGGAAAACAGAAUUGUUUAAUUCUUCAACGAUAUGCAUGAAGCAACUGUAUGUCAGGUUCUGUGAUGGGCACUAGAAAUCCACUGGAGAACAAAAGCAGACAUGUUGCUCACUCUCAUGAAGACUAAUUCUGGGAGGGAAAAUGCUAAUUUUUUUUUUAAAACCCAAAGAAAUAAAUAAAAAAGACCCAGGCAUAGGUACGUGGCACUAUGAGAAGGCAGCAGAGGAUUGCUCUACUCUGGACAGCCUGGGCAGGAAUCAUUAACAAUGUGACAAGUGAGCCUGGCUGUGAAAGAUGAGAAGUAGAUAACAAGGUAGAGAUGGGAGGGAAGAUUGAUCCAGGUAGAGGGACCAGUGCAUGCAAACCCUGCUCUGGGGGAAAGUCAGGUGACUGACAUGGAGAAUGAGGGGAAGCUUGGUUCAAAAUAAAGUUGAUCAGCAGUUUUUUAGACCACCAUACCAACUGGGGAUUGUAUCCUAGAAACAACAGAAGGUGUUGAAGUAUCUAGAAUGGGCAAAAUUGGGAGCAGAACACUCCAGGUGCUCUGGGUACACAGAGAACCAGGGAAGAAACAGAUUCUUCAUCUACUGACAUUGCUCUUUACUCACCUCACCUCAUUUAACUGUGACCAUAACUCUGCAAGGUUCUCAUCUCCAUUAUCGUAAGGAGACACCUGAGGCUCAGAGAAGCCAUUCAUGCGAUGAAUAUCUACGAGGCAUUUACAGGGAGGAAGGCACAUAUCUGUGGAGGUGAUGACUGGGCUGAUGUGAUUCUGUGAACCACUUGAGGGCAGAGGCUUUGGCUUUAUCUUCAUACUUCCGACACCUAGCAGAGUGCCUGCUGCCUGGCAUGGGAGAGCCUCAGUUUGGCAACUGACUUCCAGGGGACAUUGUGAAAGCUGAUUGACUCUUGGUCACGUGUUGCAGUGAUGAGCCGGUAGCAUCCUUGACUCUGAGCACCUCCCUCCCCCUACUGGGAGGUUACCCCACUUGUUCUUCACCAUCAUGGCCACCACUGGACCCUAGUGUCUCAUUUCACACUACAGGCUCCCCCUGUAAAAUAAAAUUGAUAAGAGGUUUUCUCACUGGUCAGAUGCUCCUGCCUCCCAUCCAUUACUCAGUCUACUCGCCUGGCUUCUGAUCUCCUACCU
This is a long non-coding RNA of Panthera uncia (snow leopard), 2345 nucleotides long. RefSeq lists it as uncharacterized. Lineage: Eukaryota; Metazoa; Chordata; Mammalia; Carnivora; Felidae. The record is from RefSeq and is a predicted model, not a curated record. The transcript has 3 exons.